AAUGAAUCAAGUUUGAAGCGGAAAUGAACAACUGCAACAGAGGCACCUAAUACAAUAGAAAUUUGCGUUGGCAGAACAGAAUCAAAUACUCAAUUCAAAUGGCUCGCAUAGUAAUAAAUUUUUUUUGCAGUACUGAAAAUAUAAAACGUCAGUUUACAUAGAUUCUUCUUGAUCGGAGCAGCUGGAUAAAACUGAAUUAAGGUUGCUGUGCUGCCGGUACUGCUGGUUGAGGCUUCUGCUGAUAAGCUGCUUGCUCACCAGCAGGAGGUGGUGGAGGUCUGGCAGCUUGAUAAGGCGGGGGAUACUGCUGAUAAUGUUGAGGCGGUGGUGGAGGCAUAUAGCCAUAGGGUGGAUAGUAAGGCGGGUAAAAUUGACCUUGAGGUGGGGGUGCCGGUGGAUACGCAUAAUGCUGCUGUCCUUGUGGUUGUUUCU
This 432-nucleotide long non-coding RNA is filed under the name Nicotiana tabacum (common tobacco). Its description in RNAcentral is "long non-coding RNA (NTAB_LNC016796)". Lineage: Eukaryota; Viridiplantae; Streptophyta; Magnoliopsida; Solanales; Solanaceae. The record is from RNAcentral.